Otolemur garnettii (small-eared galago) is the source of this 131-nucleotide non-coding RNA. The record is from Rfam. Lineage: Eukaryota; Metazoa; Chordata; Mammalia; Primates; Galagidae.
AGCUUUGCACCAUGGCAGUAUCAUAGCCAAUGAGGUUUAUCUGAGGCAUGAUUAUUGCUAAUUGAAAACUUUUCCCAAUACCCUGCCAUGAUGACUUGCAAUAUGGUCGGCACCGGCAAAAAAAAAGGAAA